RNAcentral lists this ribosomal RNA (665 nucleotides) under uncultured Actinomycetes bacterium. Its description in RNAcentral is "bacterial SSU rRNA". It matches the Rfam family "Bacterial small subunit ribosomal RNA", at positions 188 to 870 of the family's 1533-position model. The record is from RNAcentral. Lineage: Bacteria; Bacillati; Actinomycetota; Actinomycetes.
CAUGGCCAGAUGAGGAAAGGAUUCCGCUUCGGGAGGGCCUCGCGUCCUAUCAGCUUGUUGGUGAGGUAACGGCUCACCAAGGCGCCGACGGGUAGCUGGUCUGAGAGGACGAUCAGCCACACUGGGACUGAGACACGGCCCAGACUCCUACGGGAGGCAGCAGUGGGGAAUCUUGCGCAAUGGGCGAAAGCCUGACGCAGAUACGCCGCGUGCGGGAUGACGGCCCUCGGUUUGUAAGCCGCUUUCAGUGGGGACGAAACCAGACGGUACCCACAGAAGAAGCCCCGGCCAACUACGUGCCAGCAGCCGCGGUAACACGUAGGGGGCGAGCGUUGUCCGGAAUCAUUGGGCGUAAAGAGCUCGUAGGCGGCUCAGUAAGUCGGGUGUGAAACCCUCAGGCUCAACCUGGGGACGCCACCCGAUACUGCUGUGGCUAGAGUCCAGUAGAGGGGUGUGGAAUUCCCGGUGUAGCGGUGAAAUGCGCAGAUAUCGGGAGGAACACCAACGGCGAAGGCAGCACUCUGGGCUGGAACUGACGCUGAGGAGCGAAAGCGUGGGUAGCAAACAGGAUUAGAUACCCUGGUAGUCCACGCCGUAAACGUUGGGCACUAGGUGUGAGGACCCUCCAACGGUUUCCGUGCCGUAGCUAACGCAUUAAGUGCCCC